Acinonyx jubatus (cheetah) is the source of this 6865-nucleotide long non-coding RNA. RefSeq lists it as uncharacterized. The record is from RefSeq and is a predicted model, not a curated record. NCBI's taxonomy places the organism in Eukaryota, Metazoa, Chordata, Mammalia, Carnivora, Felidae. The transcript is spliced from 3 exons.
CGGCCGGAGACGGCGGCCGGUUGGGCCAGAAAGCCUUCUCUGACUGGAGCUCCUGGCUGGCGUCGAGGCCGUGGUCCUCGAGGGCCGCACGAGGGUCCCCGGAAACGCUCAGUCCCUUCCCCAGCCCCUUGAGGUGGCAGGUGCGCUGUCACCCCCGAGCCUCGGUCUCCCAUCCGUGGAACCAAGGCGGGCGGGGGUGAGGAGGAUGAGGAUGAAAGUGAGCUUGGACAAGGCGAGCCCAGCCCUCGGCCUCAGAGGCCUUCGCCCCGGGUGGCAGCCCCGCGGGGCCUCUGUCCAGGAGCAGCACUUGGCCCUCUAGAGACCUUCGUGGGGUCGGGCUCCCCCCUGCACGCUGCCUGCGCCCCCUGAAGAGCUGGACCGGUGGCUGUGUGCCCUCCGGCCCGCAUGCCCUGUGCCUGAGCCUGCCUGCCUGCAGGCGAGCCCUGAGCCGCCGCUGGGGCUGGGUCCUUCCCGCCUCCGUACCAGCCCUGCCUCCUCGGCCCAAGUCCAAGGCAGCGUCCUAACAACUGCUGGUGAUCAGGCCUGGAGGGGUGUGGGCAGGGUUGUCCCCACACGGCCAAGCAUCUCCAUGCAGGGGUUGGGCGCGGGCCGCCUCCUGUCCGCCAGGACUCCUGGAUCGCCCUGCUCCCCGAUGCCCGUGACAUUACGGGAUCUUCAGUUUGGGCACAGAUGUGUGUGUGAACAAGUCCUGGGCCAACCCGACUUCCGUCAGAGCUCGUACCCUGCCCCCAGGACAGCUGGAAUGCAAAGGAAGCCAGUCCCUUGCCCUGCAGAGGCCAUGAUGGUGACUGCUGACCACAGCUUAGGCGCUUCCAGAGAGAGGUCUCCCGAGACAGAUGCCCGUCUGAGAGCCGGACACUUUGGCUCUGCUGGAGUGUGAGGCCAACCACUGGGCUGAACUCUAUGGCCCACAGGACGAGUGACAGGCAUCGGCUUCUGCAGGGAGGGUUGUUACCUGAGAGCAGGGAUUGGCUUAGCUCAGAGGUCCCCCCACCCCCGUGUGGAUCUUCCCUUUAGGCCUCAGCAGGGGUGUAAGCCACAAGGUUAGGGAUGGGUGGAGGGUCUCCAGAAGGAGCCUCCAUGCAGCUCCCACUAAAGCUGCCCUGGAAAUGCUUGCUCUGGCUUCAGGAGCAACACGGGUUUCUCCAUGGUUAUGCUGGAUCUCCGGGUCAAACUGUCAGCGUGGGGUCUGCAGUGAGCCACCCGCCCCCACCCUUGCUCUCCAUGCUCUGGAGCCUGGCUCCCUCACCCCUGCCCAGACCGCAAGGUUUGCAGGUCCACACUGCUCCCGUAGCCCUCAUUUGUCCAUCCAUCAAGUCUCGUGAGCACCUGACUCGCUGUGGCCCAGUCUCCAGUUGUCCCUUACCGACAGAACUCCAGUUUUGUUCAGGGCGGGAAUGUGCCCAGCGUCACUGGCAGCUAGAGCUGGCCAUGUGACCGUCCUGACGGGGGGAAGAUGGGAGAAGGCACAGUAGUCUUCAGGCCCCUCCAGAAGGGACGGAGGAGGCCGGCCAGCUCAUCUGACUGUCCUGCCCUCUUCUGUCCCAGCCCAGAGUGUGGGCAAUGUGCGGAGGACAGCAGCUAUUCCGGGAGGAAGAAGAUGGGUCCCAAGCCGAGGACAGGGAGCCUCUGCCCCAAGUGCGCCCCCAGACUCAUCGUGACGGGAGAAACAGGUCCCUGCUUCCUUCGUGCUGCUGAUGACACCAUUCCCAGCAGAUAACAACCCCUGUGCGCCUCAGGAUGGAACCAUCACCCUGCCCUGGGCUCCUAGGAGAUCGACUCCGGCGUGAGACUUGUAACAGCCUCCCAAGGUAUUUGACGCCAAGAAGGAGUGGCAGAGAAAAAAGCAAAAGCAAACCGUGAGUGUUGUCUCCGCCAGUCACAUCUUCAGUGAAGGACGGGUUUGCCACCCCUCCUGGGAAUGGCAGAGCCCACGCACGCUCCGUCCCCAAGGGAGGGGGCGUCUCCACACCCCGGGCUCGCCACCUGGCAGUGCGCUCCCUCCUCUCUCGCCAAAUCUUACCCUGCUCUCCGUCACUCAUUCAUUCAGCAAUCUUUGCUUCCAAUGUCAAGGCAACAUGCCAGGCCCUGGGGAUACCAUACAAUUAGAUUCAGUUGCUAAGGACAGAAAGCCCCAAUAACGUCGGCUGAGACAAAAUCGGUGUUUGCUUCUGAUGUUGCACACCCGAGUCCAGGCAGGCGAUAGGGCUGCAAAGGUGACCUCAUGGUCACCAGGACCCCAGAUUCCUUUAGUCGGGUUGCUCCCGUGACCCUCAGAUAAGAUCUUCUGCCUUGCGGCCGUCAUGGCUGCUCUCCAGCCUGCAGGAAGAACGGGACCCUGGAGAGGCGUAUAGGCACGCUCCCACCCCGGUCCUGCCCUUGUGAGGACACCUCCCCGAUCCCCACCCCCUUGGCCAGAGCCGGGUCCCUUGUCGCGGCACGGGAGGCUAGGAAGUGCCCUCAUCCUGGGGCCUCGGUUCCCAGCCGCCCUCGGAGCCCUUGUGCCUAACACGAGGCGGGGGGUGGCUCCCCUAGCAGUCGCCGUCAGGACACGGCCUCUGACACGGUGCUCACAGUCUGGCAGCCACAAAUGGGCACUGGGAACCUGAGUGGUGGCCAUGCGGGAGCAGAACGGGGUCUUGGGGAGCAAGAGGCCCCCCCCAACAGAGAGGCUGGCAUAGGGAAGGCUUGAGGGGUAGCGAUUCCGGGAGGGGGCUGCGGGUGUCCUGAGGUAGGCGAGGAGCCUGGGGACGUCCCCGUAGGGCUGUCACACGCUCCUCUGUGCCCACGUCCUGAGCCCUGCAGCCACCGCCGACUCCAGAACCCCUGCCCUCCACCACCGCUUCUGCUGCACAUCCCCCAGGUGGGAGGGGGCACACGGGGCCGCGUCACCCCGGCCACAGCAGACACACGGACCGUGGACACGGCCCUGCCACUCCCUCUCUCCACGGCCGGUGGCACACAGCUCAGCCUUCUCACGCCGGCACCUGUUUGUGCGGUAGACCCCGGCCCCCAUAGGGUGGCACCAGGGACCUUGGCCCGACACCCAGGCGGCCAGCGACAGCUCACGGUGAGAAGGAGUGAGCAGGAGGUAAGCACGGGAGGGGGUAGGGGAGGCGCCGUGGCCGGGACACUUCCGACGCUCAUCUCUGUCCCCCUGGAAGCGGCACAGUUCCCAGCCUCCUGGCGGUGUGGUGGCUCCCGGUGGCCCCCAGACACAGGACCCUGAGCAGAGGCAGGGCUCAGCCUCUCCGGGCCUCAUGCUGACGCACCGGCCACAGGAGGGAGAGGACGGGCAAUUGGCUUUCUUAGGGGGUGACUGAUUUCGGGGCAACAAAGGUUGGGUUGCAGGAGGUGGACAGAGGCAAGGGCACCGCCCUCUGCAGGACCCAGGCUUUCACCUUUCUGAGCCCAGGCCACACCUGCGGGUUUGGGGGCAGGUGCAUCAGGCCGCCACCAUCUCCCAGGGACUCGGUAAGCACAGCAGUUUCAUCAGAGAGAGCGGGGGGCUUGAAAAUCGGGGGCAAGAGAAGUAGGCGGCGGGGGUGUGCAAGCCUCGGGGGGGGCCCCCUCCACUUUGCAUGGGGGGCCCUCCCCCAGACUGGGCUUCGGGCUCCUGGGGGUGGGGGGGGGGGCGGCUCAGGGGGAGUUCUCUCAAGGCAAAGCUGGAACGACAGGCCUGGCCGCAGAACUUCCCACGAGUGAGGGGCGGGGGCCCGGGGACCCUCACACCGGAACUAACCUACCUACAGCCUGCAACCCGCUGUGGUUUCUUCCGAGGUGCUCUGCAAACACGACGCGUUGUCCUCCUGGUAACGAGUAUCCGUUUAGGGGCAGGUGGGGUCCACCUCCCCCCACCCCCCGCCGCUGCCCUUCUUCUCCCUCCGGCUGAGCCGCCAGCCCACUGGCCACAGCCCACCAGCAGCCCCAGCCUCCCGCCUCCCCGUGGCGCCUGCCCUGGGGUGUGUGGCUCGACCCCUGGUUCCACCACGUGCCUGCCAGGAGGGCCGCAGUCAGACACCUGCCCCGAGCCAGCCGCCUCCUCACGCGUGCGAGCGGCACAGGCCACAGUGUUUCCAACUCUGUGGCGUUAACGGAAGGCUUGAGGGGGUCGGUGCCAGGGAAGCUUUUAGGAGCCCUCAGCCCAGCACCUGGCCCCCUGGCCUUUGGCACAUGAGAACAUGCGGACGGCACCCUCAGAGCAUCUCAGAGGAGCAGAGGGGACAGACAGGACCGGAGAAUCCCCUGCUGAGCCAUAAGGUCAUCGUUAGGUUGUGUGAGGAAACAGCACGCCAUUGCCAGGGUGUCGGAAAGGUUUCCCAGAGAAGGGGCAUUUGGGCUGGGUGCUGAAGGGUGAGUAGGAGUUUGUCAGGCAGGAACAGAGUGAGUCUAACAUGGAUGCUGCAGAAGGCUGCCGCAUCCACCUCCUGUGUCCGUUUCUGCCCAAACUCCUAUUUCAAACAUAGCGCUCGGGGGUUGCCCCAGCCCCCACCUCCCUUCCCCCUUUCCGGGCUCACAAACACAGUCCCAGACACUCACAGAGCAAAGAAUUGACUUCAGUAUGCUCCCCCCCCCCCCACCCCACCCCAGGAGCCCGAGCCCCCAGCCCCCACCGUUGUUGCGCGGAAACAUGGUAAUGAGAUGCUAAUGAGCGAAGGUAAAAAUCACAGAGAAUAGCAGUUUGCAAAAUCACAACACUUUGUGCCUCCGGAGGCUUCCCCCCCCACCCCCCCGCCACAAGCAUGCCACCAAACCUCACGACAGCGCCAUGUGUGUGGGCAGAAAGCACCCACGAGCCCCACUUCUUGGGGUUGUUGACGGGGUCCAGGGAGGGCAGGAAGAGGAGCCCCUGGCCCCAGGCCCUGCCCAGGCAGGGCUUCUAUUCUGCCUGGCUCAUGCGCCUGGUCUGAUCUGGGGGAGGGUGGUGGGUGUUCCUCUCCUGGACCACCCGUCACACCGGGGUCACAUCCAAGCUCCCUGCCUGGCGUCCCAGACCCUUCCGGACACUGCCCCGAGCCCACGACCGCCACCUCUGCCCGCACCCCUGGUCUCCACCCAGCCUGGUGUGUCUGCCUGGAAGGUGACUUCCUCCGGCCUGCGAGGCUACCCUCCCCACACUCUCACCUCUGCUCCUCGGUCUGCGUGUGGGGCCUCCUCCAAGCUUACCCCUCCCACGGCACCGACGGCACCGUCUGCCCCCCCGAACAGUCAGCUACUUGUCGGCAGCGACUGGCACAUGGCUGCUUUUCUUGGUGUUUGUCGAACGAAUAACCAAGUGAGGGAAUGAAUGAUGGGCUUCGUGUGACUGAGCUGAAGGGCUCUUGGAGAUGGUCUGGACUAUUCCAAGGGAAGCUGACGCCCAGAGGGAGGAUGCGGCCUCCCAAGGCCUUGGCCCUGAGCUCCUGGCCCCCAGGCAAGCUCAUCCUCUCCCAGCUGUGGUGGUAGGACAGGUCCUCGGAGCUGGGGACCCUGCCUUCGCCCCACUGUCUCUCCCACACCCCUGGGUCCUCACUGCUGCCCACGCUCCAUCAGUGUCCUCCCAGCCAGAGCCCCUGGCAGUCCCUCCUCUGUCCCGGAUACCUGCCCCUUGGCCAGGCUGCGGGCUCUGACUAACAGCAGGCCGGGGGGACUUGACGUACCACCAGGGGCUUCUGCUCUGGGGCUGACGGGCCCUGCGCUCCUCCACCUCCAGACCUCGUGGGGCCUGAGUGGGCACCAGGGUGGACAGCAUCUCUGGCCCCCUGGAGGUCGUGGAGGCCGAGAGAAAGGUGAUCUGGGCUGGACCCAGGUGAGCCGCUCGCUCGGCCCCUCCGCAGGGAAAGGGCUGGAGCACACGGGGCUGCAGCUACCUGCCGUUGACCACCAGGGUCCCAGAUGGGUCCGUCCAAGGCAAGUGCAGGGGGUCUCUGGGCCCUGCGCAGGCAGGGGUGGGGCCUCGGGAGGAAGGGAGCCUCCAUUUUGAAGAUCCUAGCGUGGGUUGAUCGGGCUCAUGGUGGCAGGGAAGGGGGCUGCGGGCAGGACUCCGGGCCGAGGGGCUGGCCGGGCAGAGCUGGGCGGGGCUCCCAGCAGCGGCAGCGCUGUGAUGACCACAGCCGGGGGAUCCAAGCUCCCCUGGGCCACUGGGCACCACUCUGUUCCACGGCCCAGCCACGCCCCGUGAGAUGUGGCUCCCGGAGGCACCCCGGAGCCUUGUCCCGGUUCAGACCUGGCUGCUGCUCUUCCUUGCUCUGUGACUCUGAGAGCAAGUCCCUCUGCCUCUCUGAGCCUCAGUUCCUCCCGGGGAAAUGGGUGCCUGGCACCAGCCACGUGGCUGUGACGUACGCAGAGGCUGGCACGGAGCUCUUUGUAUUUCGCACCAUAACUGGGAAGAAAGGGGAGUGCUGGGCCGUCCAAGACGGAGCAGAGAUGAGGUCUGUCCUCGAGAGCCUCACGCACCUGUCCCUGCCCCGUCCCUGGCCAUGCAGGUGUACUGCCGCUGGCCUCCCCUGGUGACCGUGGGCCAGUGCUGGGCUGGGAGGUGUUGGGCGCAUUGCCUGUGUUUGGUGAUCACUGUUGUAUUUAUAGGGCUUGAUGGGGAUAAAAAUAAAGUGAGUGCGGUCUUGGGAGUUACCGCAGAGCACAGCACAGUGUGGUCUCGCCGUUCCUGCUUGGAGGCGGGGCCUGCAGGGGACAGGCAGGGGCGCAGGGUGACGAGCGGACAUGUUGGUGGAUGUCAGUGGGCUCACGUGAACGACCUGAAGCAGGGUUCGCGCCGCUCCUGCCCUCUGCUUCUCCCACCCAGGCCUCCGUGGGGCCAAAGGGUGCGUUAGUGCAUAUCCAGUGUCGUAGGGCUUAGCCUGGGACC